AACGCACAUUGCACCCUCUGGUAUUCCGGGGGGUAUGCCUGUUCGAGCGUCAUUUCAACCCUCAAGCCUAGCUUGGUAUUGGGUGUCAUCUAGUUAGAUGCAUCUUAAAAUUAGUGGUGGUUCCAUCUGGCUUCAAGUGUAGUAAAUUUCUCGCUUUGGAGGCUAGAUGUGUUUACCAUCAACAACACCCUUUUCAAAUGGUUGACCUCGGAUCAGGUAGGGAUACCCGCUGAACUUAA
RNAcentral lists this unclassified non-coding RNA (239 nucleotides) under uncultured fungus. RNAcentral describes it as "sequence contains ITS2". Lineage: Eukaryota; Fungi. The record is from RNAcentral.